RNAcentral lists this ribosomal RNA (253 nucleotides) under uncultured bacterium. RNAcentral's name for it is "partial 16S ribosomal RNA". It matches the Rfam family "Bacterial small subunit ribosomal RNA", at positions 524 to 776 of the family's 1533-position model. The record is from RNAcentral.
GACGAGGGGUCCUAGCGUUGUUCGGAAUCAUUGGGCGUAAAGCGUAGGUAGGUGGCUACUUAAGUCAGGUGUGGAAUCCCCGGGCUCAACCCGGGAAGUGCAUUUGAUACUGAGUAGCUUGAGUAUGGGAGAGGAUAGUGGAAUUCCUGGUGUAGUGGUGAAAUACGUAGAUAUCAGGAGGAACACCGGUGGCGAAGGCGGCUAUCUGGCCCUAUACUGACGCUGAGCUACGAAAGCGUGGGGAUCAAACAGG